RNAcentral lists this ribosomal RNA (502 nucleotides) under uncultured bacterium. RNAcentral describes it as "bacterial SSU rRNA". It matches the Rfam family "Bacterial small subunit ribosomal RNA", at positions 8 to 526 of the family's 1533-position model. The record is from RNAcentral.
AGAGUUUGAUCAUGGCUCAGAACGAACGUUGGCGGCGUGGAUCAGGCAUGCAAGUCGCACGAAUCCCGGUAGCAAUACUGGGGGAAGUGGCGAAAGGGGCAGUAAAGCGUGGGUAACCUACCCUGGGGACCGACAUAGCCUUCCUAACGGAAGGGUAAUAUCGGGCAACGUGACGGGCCGGCAUCGGCCUGUCACCAGACGGUCCUCCGCCCUGGGAGGGGCUCACGUGCUAUCAGCUAGUUGGUGAGGUAACGGCCCACCAAGGCUUAGACGGCUAGCGGGUGUGAGAGCACGACCCGCGCCACUGGCACUGAGACACUGGCCAGACUCCGGCGGGAGGCGGCAGUCGAGGAUCUUCGGCAAUGGGCGCAAGCCUGACCGAGCGACGCCGCGUGCGCGACGAAGGCCUUCGGGUUGUAAAGCGCGAAAGUACCGAGGAAGGGCAACUUGACCGAGGUACAGUAAGCACGGGCUAAGUUCGUGCCAGCCGCCGCGGUAAUAC